AAACCGGAGUGCUCGAGGCGUGGGCGUUCGCCGCCCGUACGUCCUCGCUGGGAAUAAUGGAAGAGGACCGUUGGUCAAAAAAGGUUUUUUGUCANANAGGUUGGAGAGCAAAAAAGUGGUUGUGCUGGUGGGAGGUUACAAAGGGGGGUGACUCCCUUUCUCUCGCUGGUCUUCCUCUUUCUCCUCCUCGAAACCUUCCUCCCCGCGUACCGCACUGUGGAUCGGAUGGCGCUUUAUGGCGGUAAGGGUGGUUCUAGAAAGAAAGGUGAAAGCAGGUGGCCGUUUGCCGGAAGGUGAAAGCUGGAUGGCCGGUCGUCUGUGGAAACCUGGACAUCUUUUUCCCCCUCGCUGUCGUGGCGCUUCCGUACCCUCGGUGUCAGCGGGAGGAGGUCGAAAAUCAAAAUAAAAAAACGUGUCAUGAUUAAGAGGGACGGCCGGGGGCAUUCGUACCGCGGCGCGAGAGGUGAAAUUCUAGGACCGUCGCGAGACGAACGAUAGCGAAAGCAUUUGCCAAGAAUGUUUUCCUUAAUCAAGAACGAAAGUCGGAGGUUCGAAGGCGAUCAGAUACCGCCCUAGUUCCGACCUUAAACCAUGCCGUCCGACCGCCCGCCAGGGUUACUACCGCGACUCGGCGGGCGGUGACUUUCCACCGGGAAACCCUUAAGCUUUCGGGUUCCGGGGGAAGUACGGUCGCAAAGCUGAAACUUAAAGGAAUUGACGGAAGGGCACCACCAGGAGUGGAGCCUGCGGCUUAAUUUGACUCAACACGGGGAACCUCACCCGGCCCGGACACCGCGAGGAUUGACAGAUCGAUAGCUCUUUCUCGAUCCGGUGGGUGGUGGUGCAUGGCCGUUCUUAGUUGGUGGAGCGAUCUGUCUGGUUAAUUCCGAUAACGAACGAGACUCUAGCCGGUUAAGUAGCCCGAGUGGCGUGUUGUUGAUUAAAAAACCGCCCUAGCGGCACUCGGGGCGCUUCUCUGAAGCUGUCUGGCUUUAACUGUGGUGGGACAGGGAGGUGGAAGAUGACGGUCGGGGUCGCGUGUGUCGUGGCUCGGAUCUAGUUUUUUUAACUUCUCUUAAAUCCCGUCGCGUUUCUGCCUUUCACUUCUGAGGACCUCUGUUUGCUUACCUGGGGUAGAUAAAACGUUAACGAGAGUCGGGGGACAGUGGACGUUACUCGUGGAAUGGGUGGGCGCUUCUUAAUGGGGCGUCUCCCUUCCCUGUUUCGCUUUCUGCUUUCCUCGUCAUCUCGCGCCACCGGCUUUCGAGUGCAAAAGCUUCUUAGAGGGACGAGCGGCGUUCAGCCGUGCGAGAUUGAGCGAUAACAGGUCUGUGAUGCCUUUAGA
RNAcentral lists this ribosomal RNA (1345 nucleotides) under Epiperipatus cratensis. RNAcentral describes it as "partial 18S small subunit ribosomal RNA". It matches the Rfam family "Eukaryotic small subunit ribosomal RNA", at positions 763 to 1477 of the family's 1831-position model. Lineage: Eukaryota; Metazoa; Onychophora; Udeonychophora; Euonychophora; Peripatidae. The record is from RNAcentral.